AAAUGGAAGAGGAAAGGAGGUUGAAUUUGCACAAGACAGACCCAGGCACAGUCUUUUUCAAAGUAUUUUUCUCUCCAGGAGAGAAGCAGUAGCAACCUGUCUUCCAUUCAGGAAACACUCGGCAUGCUGGUUCUGGCAGGGAUGAUGAAGGACAAGGGUCUUCACUCACAGGCAGCGCGAGUUACCCGCACCCCCCGUAACUCAUCUUGAACGACACGGUGGCCAGUUCCAGGGCUGGGCAAACAACGCACGCAGAGCAAUUUAUCCAGCUCAGACAACGAUUUCAAGCACCUUCUCUGCGUAUUGCCAGAAGACUUGGAUAGUUGAAGGAGCCAAGCAAAUCCAUUAAACACGCAGACUGCCACACCGUGAAGGAGGCGUUCCCCCAGACCAAAUGAAAUCAAAGCACCCAGACACAUGCUUCCCUGGGGUGCUCAGUUUUUAGCUUGUACGAAUCUGAGUAACUGAGACCUCGGAGGCAGCGAUCAGACAGCUGCCAAGCCAACCAACUCAGACCAAACAGGGGCCACAGACGAGCCUCAGGUGGGGUUUUAGAUUUACCCUCCUGGAGCUCACGGCUGCUUGGAAGGACUGAGAAGACGGGGAUGUGUCCUGCCAGCACAGGGGACCCAAGGAGAACCACAGAGCGAUGUUUCAACCUGGGGAUUUGGACCAAUUCUCUCCAUGCAGAGCUCCAGGGACAAAAUGGGCAGGUACAGGGGACAUACGGUGCACUUGAAGUUAACACAGACAUAUCUGUGCAACAGGACCCCAUAAGCAAAAGGAGAAUAUCAACAGUUACCUUUGGUGGGUGGAUCGGCAUCUCUGGAUGGAAAAGACCACAUAGCAAGGAGUUUCUUUACCAUUCGCAAUGUCUUUGCCAGCAACGUUAAUGCUUGCUGCUCUUAAACAUUAAAGGCUACAGCACCUACCCACAGUCCUGAUUCAUCAUGUAAUAUCCAGCUUAGAUCCUUCAACUGGAAAGCAAACAAAAUGCAUCCUCAGAAGCAAUUAUAAAAACACUGAUAUGCCCUUAGCAGAAUCAAUAUUUGAAUUACGCCAAAGCAACAAGAUGAAAAAAGAUACUGGAAGCAGGCUGCUGAGCUGAACAGGUCAGCAAUGAGACCAUCGCCCAACCUUCUCCUGCAGGCAGAUACCCACCUCCCGUGGGAGGUUUGGGAGAUGUGCAGGACACGGACACGCAAAGUGCUGGGCAAAGACCUGAAGCACUUAAGAGCUGACGUCCUAGGAGCAUCCCCAGUGCCUCUGGCCAGGAGCCUGGGAGGUGCUGCUGGACCUGGUGUCCUGGCCGCUGGCACCCUGGGGGGCAGGGAAGGGUGGCAACACCAAGGAUCAUCCACCUAAAGUCAGAACUUAGCAGGCCAACGCGGGAAAUCCUUUGUUAUCUAUUGCUUUGGGUCUUGCUAUCACCUCGUGUCUUGGAAAAGCAGAACUAUAGGCUUGAAACUCCUAUUUUACAUAUUAAGUUAGAUAUAUUUAGUCCAAAUGUGAAUUUAUAUCUAAUUGUCUCUCUCCAUUUAACUCUGUUGCUUUGACAGAAUGAGCAAAGUACCUCCUACAAAAAUAAACUUGGGUUCUUUGUGCCUGAGGCAGAUCUAGACAGUUAUCUCCUCUAUGGGAUUACAUAGGAAUUCUUCAUUAUAAGCUACAUUAUUUGCAGCAGUUUCUGCAGCGCUAGGAAAUUCUGAUUUUCUUUCUCUUUUUGGUCCUAGCACUGAGCUUCAAGGCACAGAUCCGAUAUUAAGGAAUUGCAGUCAGCACAAAGCAGUAUUUCUUAAUAAAGUAAAAAAAGAAAGGGUGAUCUUGGCUUGAUUGAUGCCACUUCAUUUGCAUAUGCCCACUAGCAGUACUUUGGUUAAUUAAUACGUAUUUUGUGUCUGUAGAUGAAUAAGAAAUAAUGGGUUUGCUAUUGAAGCUUUAGGUAUAAAUUUAUUCAAUGAACAGGUUAGUUUACUUCUUGGUGUCUUCUCCCAGUAUUUUCUGUGCAAAUAAGACAUAAUAACUCUCUAGAAGGUGGUGACACAUGACAAAAUCCAAGAAGGAUGCACUCGUGUUUUAAAGCUAGAUGAGUUAAUUAGCUCAUAAAAUGGAAGAACUGUUUGGAGGGGGCAAGGGGGGAAGGAUGAGAAACAACACCUUCUUCCAGUGAAAAAAUUCGUUUGAAAAUAUUAACCCUUAUGGCUCAAGUUCAGCUCUAGAGGCCUCAAUCCAGAAAUUCACUUAAAAACCACUUACAGUUAAGCAGGUGCAAUAGUGCCCCAGACAUUAAGACGACUGCCCAGGUGCUUGAAAGUUAAGUGCUCUGCUGGAUCACAGCCUGGGUAGCCAAAGGUGGAAUUUCAUUUUAUUCUCUGAUCUGCCUCACCAGCUUCCUGGACUGGCUGCUUCUAACCAGCUCAGGGUGCGACUGGAUGCUGAAAAUAGUCCUAAAAUCCUGAGGGCAGAAAACCCCCUAAUAUAUACUGAUAUAGGUCCAUGGUAUCUAAUACCUCAGUGGACAAGUUUUUGGGCAAAGCCAAGGAAAUUUUGGUCAACCACCCCAACUCUUACAGCACUUGAGGACGGGGUUUGGCUGGCUGGUUAAUACCAGUGCGAGGAGGCAGCCGAGGAGGCGGCCCAUGGUGUAGAGGCCAAGCUGCGACAUCUUCCCUUGCCCUGGGCCUCCGGGGAAACCCCUGAAGUCAAGGAGAGGAAGGAAAACUGUGUGCAGCGUUACUGGGGUUAACUACCUGUUAGGUAUUACGGCAGUAGUGCAUCGUAGCGAUUAGAUCAUCUAUGAGGCAAUAGUCUUGCUAUGAAUAAUAAAUGCACCACGGGGAAGCCAGAAAGUUCACUGCUGUGAUAGUAUUCGCUUUACAGGGAGCUCUGACUGUGAACGCUGUUCAAAAUGAGUCCCACAGAGCACCACCUCUGCAGUCUCCAUCGAGUAUCACAAGGACACACUAGACUGAAGGAUAAAUGCACUGGGAAACAUAAAUCAUGUCUAGUUAUUUCCACUGCUAUUCUCAAUGAUGCACAGGGCAAGUCUCAAGUGAUAUCACAUCAAGGGACAUGCAUUCAGCGCCAGGCUCCUGCUAGUCACAAAAGGAGAGAGAUUUUCCAGGAUGACUGAAGGAGAUAAAUGAUUAGUUCCCACUGAAUUUUGCUGGGAAUUUUCUCCUCCUUGUCACGCUGAAGCUGUCACUCAAGUCUGCUGGUACUGAAAGAGCUGUGGAAGAAAUGAGCCAACCAAUUUGAGAAGAUGACUGAACAAGCUGAUACUUCUUAUCACUGCCAUUAAUACUGGUUGAAUCCAAAGACACCAACAACUUUUCCGAACACAUGAGACGAUGCAAUUCCUACCCUAAUCAAGCUUCACAUAUAUUAAAACAAGCUCAAGCACAGAGGGUUUCUUCAGAUCAAAGUAAGCCACGGGCUGGAUGCAGCACAAUCUGCCAGAGGCAGAGAUCUUCCAGGGCCUUCUGCAAAGCUUCAGCGCCGGGCACGAACGUGUACCAAGUGUUAACAUCCUUUUUAAGUGUUUUACAUCUGCUUUGCACUCACCGCAUGCUGGAGCUUGUGACAGCACAACAGCAAAUCAUGCCCAGUAACACUGGAAAGCAAAAGGUCGGGAGGCAGGUGACUGGCACACAGACACACUGGGCUGAGUUUCCUGGAGGAACGGGUGACUGUAACAUGGCACGAUCCACCAAACCUGGCUGUCAGCUGACAAAAAAGGAAGUGCUAUAAAGCAAUCCCAAAGAGUAGAAUACCGGUCUCAAAAGGAUUUGGAUGUUCAAGGGGGAGUCCAGGAGGUGAUCGAGGGUCUUCCAGCAAAACUGGGAUGCUUGAAGGGCACGUUGUCCUGGUUUCAGCUGAGGUAGAGUUAAUUUUCUUCAUAGUAGAUAGUAUGGGGCUACGUUUUGGAUUUGGGCUGCAAACAUGUUGAUAAUGUAGAGAUGGUUUUGUUAUAUAGAGAUAUUUUUGUUGUUAUUGAGCAGUGCUGACACAGAGCCAAGGCCUUUUCUGCUUCUCUCGCACCACCCCGCCAGCGGGAUGGCUGGGGGUGCGCGAGGAGUCGGGAGGGCACACAGACAGGGCAGCUGACCCCAGUGACCAAAGGGAUGUUCCGUACCAUAUGACGUCACGCUCAGCAUAUACAGCUGGGGGAAGAAGGAGGAAAGGGGGGACGUUUGGAGUGAUGGCGUUUGUCUUCCCAAGUCACGGUUACGCGUGAUGGAGCCCUGCUUUCCUGGGGAUGGCUGAACACCUGCCUGCCCAUGGGAAGUGGGGAAUGAAUUCCUUGUUUUGCUUUGCUUGUGUGCAGCUUUUGCUUUACCUAUUAAACUGUUUUUAUCUCAA
This is a long non-coding RNA of Grus americana (Whooping crane), 4362 nucleotides long. RefSeq lists it as uncharacterized. Lineage: Eukaryota; Metazoa; Chordata; Aves; Gruiformes; Gruidae. The record is from RefSeq and is a predicted model, not a curated record. The transcript has 5 exons.